Homo sapiens (human) is the source of this 750-nucleotide long non-coding RNA. RefSeq lists it as uncharacterized. The transcript is spliced from 3 exons. NCBI's taxonomy places the organism in Eukaryota, Metazoa, Chordata, Mammalia, Primates, Hominidae. The record is from RefSeq and is marked validated.
CCAAUGCUGGAGGAUACAUGUGAUGACAUGAAAUGUUCCUAUUUUCCAAAGUUUUCAUCUACCAAGUCGUUCAUGUACGGUUUAGCACCGUUAAUAUAAGUUCACUCCUCAAAGUAAUAGGUUCUGUGACAGAAGAUUCUUGGUCCUAAAUUUCUGAUUCAAAAAUGGGAAAAAAUUCCAAGAUAUAAAAGCUGUUCACCAGUAUUCCGGUUAAAUGUAUAACAUCAUAGAACAAUAUGAGUGAUCAUUGAGUCACCUUUCCCAGAUGUCUCACAGAAAACCUCCUCUGACUAUAAUGCCCAUGGAAAAUCAUCUUAAUUCCAGAAAGCGGGGGCUGACGGGACACUGUUGAGAGGAUCCAACAUUCCGCUGCUGCCAGGUGUUGAGGAAAUGCACACACCCUCAUGAGAGAGACACAAACCAUCACAGAGCAUCAGAAGUGGAUGAAACUUCUUGGCCUGGAGAAUUAAAAAAAAAAAAAAAAGAAAGAAAGGAAAGCACUGUGAGACUUUUGCCCCAUCACAGAUUGAAGGAAAAGGUGAAAAAAACAGAAUGUAGAAGUCAUAAAACUGCAGAGGCCUAUUAUCUAAACAUCUGACAUGACAUUGCCCCAUCUUAUAACUGAAGUUCUCAAGACUGAGUGAAAAAAUCAAGAAAGAACAUGUGUUCUGAGAUAGCAUCAAUAGUAUGUUCUUUCUGUAAAUAAAGCACAUUAAUGUACUGAAUAAGAUGGAUUUCAAAAUUUGGUAA